UCAGGUUAAAACUGGAACAUUUUUCCGGCUAUCAAAAAGACAGCCAUGGGCACCCCGGGGAGUUCCUCCGUCCCACGGGAGUCGGGCAGCCUAAAGGCAGAAGUUCAGCUACGGGUGACCCCGUUAGAGAUGAAGUUCUGUGACGCGAUGGUGGGGAAAGUGUACCGUCUCCCGAUCACUGUACACAAUCUUGGUCGUUGGAACAAGAAAAUUCGGUUUAUGGAGCCAACCAAGAAACAGUUCAAGUUGAUGUUGACCAAUCUGGAUAAAGAACUCGCUUCUGGUCUGAAGACAACAGCUAUGGUGGAAUAUCAUCCUGAUAAAGAUGAAGAUACUUUUGACCAACUACUUAUUUUAGUGGGAACUAAAACAAUAGUAGUACCUCUAAUGGGG
Molecule: long non-coding RNA, 393 nt
Filed under: Cavia porcellus (domestic guinea pig)
Lineage: Eukaryota; Metazoa; Chordata; Mammalia; Rodentia; Caviidae
Description: lncRNA (ENSCPOG00000030841.1)
Source: RNAcentral